UCUUAUCUCUCAUCCCAUCGCAUCUUCUCUUUCUAUCAUGGGAAAUGUUGCCGUAUGAACUUCAUAUCGUGCGCAGAAAAACUUUCCCUGGAAGUUAACACGACGUUACUAUGCAACUUUUUCAGCUAAAAGAAACUGCCACGCCCAAAGUUCUUUUUCUCGGCUAUCGCUCAACCGCUCAACGAUACACUGCAUUAGCUCACCUCCAUUCAAGCCUGGAAAACAAAAGAAAAGUUGAAGUUUAGAGUAUUGUUGAGCAUUUUUUCUAAAGUGCAAUUACUCUUUUUACAGAUGGUACAUAACCUAGGCCACUUUCAGGAAAAAUUAAAAUAAAUAAUAAAAAAAAAUGAAAAGCAGAGUCACUGAUUUAGUUUAAUUUUAUCCUUUCGAUUCAGUUUGUAUAUGGAAGGAAAAACAUGGUUACAUGUUAUUUAUUACUGCUUUAGCUUUUAUUUCUCGACUUAUGCUUAAUUUUCUUUGUUUUCUCAGCAACGAAACGGAAUCUCAGUGGAAAAACCUUUUUUUCACUCCCUUUAGUUUUCUCUGUUUCUAUUUCUGCUCGCUUCCCUUUCUUUUUCUUUUUCUUUUUCUUUUUUGAUUGAUCAUUGGACAUUGCUCGUCAGGGUCUUUUUGGGCUACUACUUACCAGUAAUUGCUUAGCCAGCAAAGAAGAAUUAAACGAAGUUGAGAGUAGGUUUUGGUGUGUACUUAAUGGCACCGUCUGAUGAGGAGGGUGAAAUAUUGCCGAAGCAUGUGUCAAGUUAUUAUUUUGUUGAUAGCAAGGAUGUACCGGUCUCGUUUACGAUUUUGCCGGUCCAAUGGGAUGUAAGCGAGGAGUUGGCCAACUUGGAAUACGUAAUAGUUUUGCGUGGGACUUGUUGUAAUGGGAUUCAGCUGUUAAGAAUUAAUCUCAAAUAAUUCAAUAAUAACCUAGAUCGUGCAAA
Non-coding RNA from Jatropha curcas, 944 nucleotides. Lineage: Eukaryota; Viridiplantae; Streptophyta; Magnoliopsida; Malpighiales; Euphorbiaceae. The record is from RefSeq and is a predicted model, not a curated record.